Molecule: transfer RNA, 72 nt
Filed under: Ovis aries (sheep)
Lineage: Eukaryota; Metazoa; Chordata; Mammalia; Artiodactyla; Bovidae
Rfam family: tRNA
About the family: Transfer RNA (tRNA) molecules are approximately 80 nucleotides in length. Their secondary structure includes four short double-helical elements and three loops (D, anti-codon, and T loops).
Source: Rfam by way of RNAcentral
UCCCUGGUGGCUCAGACAGUAAAGUGUCUGCCUGCAAUGCAGGAGACCUGGGUUUGAUUCCUGGGUCGGGAA